Long non-coding RNA from Strongylocentrotus purpuratus (purple sea urchin), 769 nucleotides. RefSeq lists it as uncharacterized. The transcript has 2 exons. The record is from RefSeq and is a predicted model, not a curated record. Lineage: Eukaryota; Metazoa; Echinodermata; Echinoidea; Camarodonta; Strongylocentrotidae.
GGGACGACAGACAGAAACGACCCAAUACCUAUACAGGUAGUGACAGCACUUCGAUUCUAUGCUGUUGGGUCAUUCCAAAAGAUGCAUGGUGAUGAGGCACAACUUUCACAGUCUUCUGUAUGCAGAGUCAUCAAAGACGUGUCCGAAGCGUUUGCAAGAAGAAGGAAACAAUUCAUGAAGUUCCCAACAUCAAGAGAAGAAGUAGAAGCAACACAGCAGCAGUUCUACCAAUACUGCAGGUUGCCAGGUUUUCUAGGUGCGAUUGAUAGGACUCAUGUCUACAUCAGGAGUCCUGGUGGAGAUCAAGCCCUGUAUUUUACUAAUAGGAAGAACAGAUACUCUAUUAAUGAAAUGAAAAUUUUCCCUUUUGUGGAGAUGCUCCCCAUUUACUUUUAAUCCAAUUAAUUAAAUGACCGAUAUGGAAUUGGUUCACCCUUUAAGUUUCUCUGAACGAAACGUACACCCAUGCAGUAUGGUCUGAAACAAUUAGACCGGAUGAUUUGAAAUCUAAUGGUUGAUAUAGUUCCUCCCAAAAAACAUUUUUGCAAAAGGUACCAACCACUUUGAAAGGGAAAUCGUCAUCAUCUUUCAUCAUCAUCAUCAUCAUUACUGAAAUCGUUAUUUGACUGCUUCAUCACCAUCGCCACCGACAACAUUGCUGUCAUCAUUAUCAUACUGACAUCAUCAUCGACUUCAACAUUGUCUUCGUCAAUAACCUUGAAUACUUGUUUUGAUUAUCCAUAUUAAAUCGUCAAUAUUUAAAUAUAAA